AGGGAUGUAGCUCAAAAUGGUAGAGCUCUCAGCUUGUAACCUGUAUGAACAAGUUACAAGACGAUCAAGGUUCAAAUCCUUGCGUCCCUG
Molecule: transfer RNA, 90 nt
Filed under: Prunus persica (peach)
Lineage: Eukaryota; Viridiplantae; Streptophyta; Magnoliopsida; Rosales; Rosaceae
Rfam family: tRNA
About the family: Transfer RNA (tRNA) molecules are approximately 80 nucleotides in length.
Source: Rfam by way of RNAcentral